CCUGUCCUUCUGCUUUGUCUCAGUGUCCCUUGGCAGAUGGCCUGAUGCUUGGGGCUGGCCCAAGGACACCUCAGGAAGGUUUGGGUCCCACUCUACAAUGGUCUGAUUAUACAGAGGGACAUCUAUCUGCCUUCUGGAGAUGGACAGGGGCCUUAAGACUUCGGUUGAGAACAGGAUGCUCUGUCUCUUACUGUCUGGGGCAGGGAUGGCCUCCAGCUGCAGGAAGUACAGCAGCACCUGGACCUUCCAGAAAGAGUGGGAAAGAGGAGAGAGGCUCAGAGGGUGCUCACAGCUGGUGAUCUUUAGCCCCAAGUCCAGCUGAGGUGCUGGGUCCUCUGCUGCUGCCAUGAAACCUUUACAGUGAGAUGGGAGGUGGGGGUGUGGAUGAGGACAAGGCAUGACUUGGGGGGGUUAUUUUAGAGGUGCACAGGGCCUUGCUGUGUCACCCAGGCUGGAGUACAGUGGCUCCAUCAUGGAGCACUGCAGCCUCUAACAGCUAGGCUCAAGGCAUCCUCCCGUAUCAGCCUCCCCAGUACCUAGGACUGCAGGUGUGUGCCACAAUGCCUGACUAAUUUUUCCUUUCCUCUUUUCUAGAGAUGGGGUUUGCUGCAUUGUCCAGACUGGUCUCAAAUACCUGGGUUCAGUUAUCCUGCUGUGGUCUUUCAAAGUGCUGGGACUACAGGCAUGAGCCUCCACACCCAAACACUUGGGGUGGUUUUAAGCCCCGAGUAAGGUGCACCAGCAGGACCAAGAGGUGGCCUGGGCCUCCCCAACACUCUCAUCCAUGCAGGCCUAGGACCAAAGCAGAGGGUGCUAUUUCUAUGCCACCACCAGGAAAGAGGCAGAGGGGCUGGGCCAUGCUGGAGUCCUCUGGGAGGGAGCGACCUCGACCCUGGCUGUGCUGCAAGCUGAUUCCAGCCCUGGGGUCAGCAGCACCUGGAGAACAGCAGCAGGAGACGGCGUGAGAGCAGUGGCUCAUGGGCAGAGCUGCCAGUGGGAAACUGCAGCUGCCACCCCCUCCCAAGGGCAGCCCAGAGUAGUGGAGGCUCAGCAUAAAACUAAAAAGGGGAGUGAGGGACACAAGGAGGUGGGAGAUGGGUGGCUCCAGCCCCACAAACUAAGCAGAGACCCUCUCUUCACCCUAGACUCCGCAGGGGCACCUCAGGCUGGUCCUCUGGGCGUGGGCCCAGGAGGCAGGCCUGCCCUAAGGGUCAUGCAGAGGAUACAGGGCCACACACGCCAGUGCCCUGCUUAGACAUCAGCCUGCAGGUGGACUCGGGGUCAGGCCAGGUUUGAUCCUGUGCUUGACUGGGCCAGGACCCAUGGCUAGAGCACCUGGGGACCCUCGUUCAGCCCUGGUCUGCUGGAAGGGGGACAGCAGACUUUAGGACCCCACAGCACAGCAGUGAUGAGCAUUUUACUCUCUUGGUCUCCUUGAGGAAUAGGACAAGGAGUCCUCUGGGGACAGACGAGGACUUACACAACUGCCUCAGUUGUGGUCCCUGCUUUCUGAGCUUGGUUAAAACACUGGCCAUGGCAGAAAGGACACAGCUUGGGUUCUCACACCUCACUUUCCACAGCCCCUAACGGCAGCAGUGCACAUGGAGGAGAUGCCUCCUAUGACGCCAAGGCCUCCAGUGCUCACCAAUGCCUUCAUCCAAGUUGGGUAGAACUUGUCAGUGAAGAGGGGCUCAGGCAGCUCACGGAAGUAGAGCUUCAGCAUGUCUGCGAUGGCGUGUACAUCCAUCUCACUCAUCAUCAUCGACACAUCCCUGUUAUCUGGAAAGAACAUGGAAGUGCUGCAGCCUCCUUGAGGAUCCCAAGUAGGUCUCCCGCCAUCCCUGCCUUGGCAAAAGCACCGUCCCUGCCAUGCUGGCCACUGUGCGGGUCCGUCCCUGGCUUUGAGCAGCUCAUCUUCCUCCCCCCAAGAGCUGUGCAUGGUUCUGUGUCUGUGUAGAGAUGAUGGAGGGGUGUGUGCAUCUCCAUAUUUCUCCCCUGCUUGGCUCCAUCAUGGAUCACUGCAGCCUCUAACUGCUAGGCUGAAGCCAUCCUCCCGUGUCAGCCUCCCCAGUACCUAGGACUACAGGUGUGUGCCACAAUGCCCGACUAAUUUUUCCUUUUCUCUUUUCUAGAGAUGGAGUUUGCUGCAUUGUCCAGACUGAUCUUAAACACCUGGGUUCAGUUAUCCUGCCGCAAUCUCUCAAGGUGCUGGGACUACAGGCGUGAACCUCCACACCCAAACACUUGGGAUGGUUUUAAGCCCCCAGUAAGGUGCACCAGCAGGACCUCCCCAACACUCUCAUCCAUGCAGACCUAAUUUGUUUAUUGUUAUCUGAAAUUCAAAUUUAUUUAUGCAUCCUGUGUUGAUCUGGCAACCCUAUACUAUCUGUAACCCUGUAAUAGGCCCUCUCAGAGCACACUGAUAGGAGAUAUGUGUAUUAACCCAUGUAUAUACACAUAUCUACUAUUAAAUUUUUAUAUAUGUGUGGUUAAAUAUGAGUCAUACUUAUUUCUCUAACUCAAAUCCAGUAUCACAGGGUUCCUUCUAGCCUUCUGCCUUUGCUUAUCUAUAACUUCUCUCUCCAGCAUUGAAAAACCUGACCCCCACUAUCCACUCUUCAUUUACUUAUUUGCCCCUUCUUACUCAUGGUGCAUGUAAAGCUAUUUCAGAAUUGGUCACAGCCUCCCCACCCCCCCCCCCACCCCAAGCCCGAUGAGAAACAAACUUACAAGUUGCAACACAGUGCUGAGGUCCAGUUCCUUUGGCCUUUAGCCUUGCAAUUGUAAGUCAAAGCAGCACCUGCAAGGUUACUUUGGUUUGCUCCUUUUCCCAACCCCUCAGGGAUGUUAUGUGUACAGUGACACUCAUUCCUGAAAAUCUACAUUCCCCUCCAUCCUGGUUAUUUUUCUUCAUCUACAAAAUGUGAGAAUGUCAAUGUUUUAUUUGGUACAAGGAUAAGGAGGAAAACAGCAAAAUAAUUUUGAUAAUAAGAUUUACACUUUAUCACAAGUGAUUUUCCUAAAACACAACUUUCACAUUUGGCUGCGUGAAACAGAGAGAGAGAAAAAAGGGAACUUUCACUAGUUUUAAGUAGGCCAACUCAUAUGAUCCCUCCAAAUGAGUUUAAAUGAGAAUGAGUACUUUUUUCCUAGCUGGGAAAAUAUUUUCCUUAAUUGAGUUUAAAUAAUUUACCCAUAGUGAUGAAUAAGCCCUUGGGCUAGGCUCAGAAACCUCUUCUACCAGCCUGUUUCAUAAGAAUUAAAAAAAUAUUUAGGGGACAUACAUGAAAUAUAUAUAUAUAUAUAUUGGGUUGUAAUAGUAGAGACAAGAAUUUUUAAAAUCCGUACUAUUUCUCGUUCCGGUCUCUUUCUCCUAAAUGCACCUUCUGAGUUUCUUAGGUAUGCUUUACAAAGACUACUUUACUUAAUGGAUUAAUGUGUUCAUCAACUUUAGCACCCUAUGUGUGUGUUAAGAGUAAUGAGAACGGGCUAGUUAAACUGCUUCCUCAUAGCCUUGGCCUUCAUUACCAGUAGUAAAGUUGACAGAAAACAAUGAGGAAGAAGUACCAUAGCCCACAGGCACCUAGGAAUGGGGAAUUAAUUCAGACUGAGAAAAUAUGGCUCUGGAGAGACACCAAAGUCGUAUUGCAAAUUUAUGAAGUCGAAAUGAACCCUUUCGCCCCAGCUUCAGACUUAGAUAAGGUGUGAGAUGUCAGGGAUGUGCAUGGACCCUUCCAAAAAUGAUAUUUUCAUCCGUGUUCUUCCCCCUUCCCUCUCCUGCGAGACAAAAUAUACGGAAAUACAAGUGCUUGGUACUACAUGUUUUUGAGGCUUAAAAGCCCAAUAAUAAGCACGCUGCAUCCGUUGUUGAAGGGGAUCACUUUUUAAAUAAACAUCACCAGAAGAAUCUCUUCAAACGGAGAAUGAAGUCACUCUCCCUCCCCAGAGGCUAUGAGGGAAAAGGGAGACGGAUAUUUCCCCUACUUGCACGUGGGAUCUCCCUUUGUCUGCCUUGGGAGGUAGCUGAGAGAAAAGGCAAAGCUCAGUUCUCCAUGGCAAAGUCUUUGGUCUUCUCCUCCUGGUCUCCCACUUUGUAGCGCAGCAGCACGUGUAGGCGACGGGGGUUGUCCCGGGAGGGCAGUAGCGUGAUCUCUCCUGAUACGUCCGUGUCUUGCUCCACUUGCACCGGCUCGUUCAGGUAGAGGAGCUCCUGUUUCCAGUGUGUGGCGGGUGAAAGGCGAGGUGGACAGCACUAGGGGUUUCUCCGACUCCCCUCCAGGGAAGGUCACCUGUACCCAGAUGGCAAAGCCGUGCAUGGGCGCCGAGCCGUAGCAGCUGCAGCGGAAGCGCCCGCCCUCUCCGGCCUCCAGCUCCUGCUCCAGGCCAGCGCGGGAGAGCUCUAGCUGAGCAAAGCGCUGCGCCGGGCCAGCGCAUCAUCGCCGGACAGUCCCUGCACCACGAUCUCCGAGUGGCCCAUGAGGCAGCGCGUGGCGAAACCCUCCAGGCAGCUCAUGUCCACACCAUAGUGCUGCUUCACCUGGUUCCAGAAGCCCAGGCGCC
This is a long non-coding RNA of Callithrix jacchus (white-tufted-ear marmoset), 4560 nucleotides long. Lineage: Eukaryota; Metazoa; Chordata; Mammalia; Primates; Cebidae. The record is from Ensembl.